CAUGCCGUAAACGAUGAUAGCUAGGUGUGGGGGGACUGACCCCUUCCGUGCCGCAGCAAACGCAAUAAGCUAUCCACCUGGGGAGUACGACCGCAAGGUUGAAACUCAAAGGAAUUGACGGGGGCCCGCACAAGCAGUGGAGUAUGUGGUUUAAUUCGAAGCAACGCGAAGAACCUUACCAGGUCUUGACAUCCCGAUGACCGCUCUAGAGAUAGAGUUUUCCCUUCGGGGACAUUGGUGACAGGUGG
RNAcentral lists this ribosomal RNA (248 nucleotides) under uncultured bacterium. Its description in RNAcentral is "partial 16S ribosomal RNA". It matches the Rfam family "Bacterial small subunit ribosomal RNA", at positions 796 to 1041 of the family's 1533-position model. The record is from RNAcentral.